Molecule: long non-coding RNA, 1411 nt
Organism: Centruroides sculpturatus (bark scorpion)
Lineage: Eukaryota; Metazoa; Arthropoda; Arachnida; Scorpiones; Buthidae
Exons: 3
Source: RefSeq, a predicted model, not a curated record
ACAGAAAAUUCAUUCUUUCAUGCAAUUUCUUAAUACUAAAUUCAUGAAAAUAAUAUAUCACUGGAUAAAUUAUUGAACGAAACAAUUACCGAAAGUAAGUGAAUAACGUAAAAAUUGCAGGUGCACACGAAAAUUAAGUCAUUGUUAUAUUUAAUUCAUUGGUGUAAAAAAAUACUUAUUGUUAUAUCAAUUUGUUGCAAAAUAUUUCGAACAAAAGAAGUGCAUAACUUUUUUACUUCUCCUUGUCAAACAAUAGGAAAAGUUGAUACUUGACCUCAUUUAAAUGUUAGGUCUUGGAAGAUCUUAUUUACAUUUAAUAAGGAUACAGGAUUCAAGUAAUUCCAGUCAUGUAAAUAAUAAUUAUGGACAAAGUGAAGAAAUGCAUCUAAAAACAUAUCACUCAUCCUCUGAACCUUUAUGAAUCUGAUCUGUACAGUAUAUGCCUGGAAAAUAAUUAUAAUAUGCACCUGAAUCAUUGUGAAUAUACAAUAAUAUGGUCAUUAACAUUUCUGCAACUUUAAAAAAGAAAAACCACCAAUUAAUCAAUCAUGACAGUGUAAUUAUGCACUGCAUCAUCAUCAGACUGGUUAAAGAGUGCAAAUCGAAGCAUACAAACUGUACAUUUUGUAACAAUGCACAGAAAUACCUGCAGCAUUCAUAUUGUAAAAAUACAAUUUGAUAAUUCAGCAUCACUCUGGUAUUAGAGAACAGUAGAAAUUUGUUAAUCCAGUACCUAUAAUAGAGGUUUGAAAAAACAUAUCCAUCAAACCAAAUCAUAGUAGAUAGAAUGAUCUUGCAAGUAGCUUGUUUGGACAGCAUAAAGAAAGAUCCUAUGCUACUUGAGAGGUUUCCCCCCCAAUGAAGUUCAAUAGUGUUGAACCAGAAAGUGAAUAAAGUCAUGUAAUCAUUUGACUGUGGUGUCUGACAAACUAUGCUUGAAAAUGAUGUUUGUUCAUCAGGAACAUUUUAUCAAGAUCAUUCUGGUAACUAAUUGAUUUGGCAGUUCCAAUAAAAUGGAAUAUCAAUGUCAAAGAAUGGACAAAUUUAUGGGAAAUGGCACAUUUUGAAGAAAUUCAUUACUGGAUGAUUCACUAUCAUCAUACUUUUCUUCUGUUUAAGCAGUGCUCUGUGAAGCCACUUCAAGUGUUCCGUGAAAAAAAAAUCAAAUAUAUAAUUAAAAAUUGUUGCAAAAGAAAAAUCAAUACAAUGUAAAAUAAUUUUUGUAUGGGAAUGUAAUCAGCAAAUGCCAAUGAUAUCAUAUACUAGACUGAGUAUGCUCUUGAUUUCAAAAGAUUUAACACAUCAGCUUUAAAGCAGGGGUGGCAAGUGUUCAGUGAAAAGGAAAAAAAAAAAAAUAGUAGUUUUGAAGUCAGUGUUCCCUGACUUCAAAAAUUUUCUUAUAUUUUGAAUU